RNAcentral lists this transfer RNA (55 nucleotides) under Allodiplogaster sudhausi. RNAcentral's name for it is "tRNA-Arg". The record is from RNAcentral. Lineage: Eukaryota; Metazoa; Nematoda; Chromadorea; Rhabditida; Diplogasteridae.
AGAUGUGAAAUAGAUAUUACUAUAUUUGAUUACGGUUCAAAAUGAUUAACAUCUU